CAAUAGCGUAUAUUAAAGUUGUUGCAGUUAAAAAGCUCGUAGUUGGAUUUCUGGUGGGAGCGAUCGGUCUGGCGCUUAGCGCGAGUACUUGCAUCGUCUCCGGCCAUCCUUGGGGAGAGUCUGUCUGGCAUUAAGUUGUCGGGCAGAGGAUCCUCAUCGUUUACUGUGAAAAAAUUAGAGUGUUAAAAGCAGGCUUAUGCCGUUGAAUAUAUUAGCAUGGAAUAAUAAGAUAGGACUUUGGUACUAUUUUGUUGGUUUGCGCACCAAAGUAAUGAUUAAUAGGGACAGUUGGGGGUAUUCGUAUUCCGUUGUCAGAGGUGAAAUUCUUGGAUUUACGGAAGACGAACUACUGCGAAAGCAUUUACCAAGGAUGUUUUCAUUAA
RNAcentral lists this ribosomal RNA (383 nucleotides) under uncultured eukaryote. RNAcentral describes it as "partial 18S ribosomal RNA". It matches the Rfam family "Eukaryotic small subunit ribosomal RNA", at positions 592 to 976 of the family's 1831-position model. The record is from RNAcentral.